Molecule: ribosomal RNA, 440 nt
Filed under: uncultured Phyllobacteriaceae bacterium
Lineage: Bacteria; Pseudomonadati; Pseudomonadota; Alphaproteobacteria; Hyphomicrobiales; Phyllobacteriaceae
Description: bacterial SSU rRNA
Rfam family: Bacterial small subunit ribosomal RNA
Source: RNAcentral
CCUACGGGGGGCUGCAGUGGGGAAUAUUGGACAAUGGGCGCAAGCCUGAUCCAGCCAUGCCGCGUGAGUGAUGAAGGCCCUAGGGUUGUAAAGCUCUUUCACCGGUGAAGAUAAUGACGGUAACCGGAGAAGAAGCCCCGGCUAACUUCGUGCCAGCAGCCGCGGUAAUACGAAGGGGGCUAGCGUUGUUCGGAAUUACUGGGCGUAAAGCGCACGUAGGCGGAUACUUAAGUUAGGGGUGAAAUCCCAGGGCUCAACCCUGGAACUGCCUCUAAUACUGGGUAUCUUGAGUCCGAGAGAGGUGAGUGGAAUUCCGAGUGUAGAGGUGAAAUUCGUAGAUAUUCGGAGGAACACCAGUGGCGAAGGCGGCUCACUGGCUCGGUACUGACGCUGAGGUGCGAAAGCGUGGGGAGCAAACAGGAUUAGAUACCCUAGUAGUC